UACGUAGGGAGCAAGCGUUGUUCGGAUUUACUGGGCGUAAAGGGCGCGUAGGCGGCAAAUUAAGUCAGCUGUGAAAUCUCCGAGCUUAACUCGGAACGGUCAGCUGAUACUGAUCUGCUAGAGUGCGGAAGGGGCAAUCGGAAUUCUUGGUGUAGCGGUGAAAUGCGUAGAUAUCAAGAGGAACACCUGAGGUGAAGACGGGUUGCUGGGCCGACACUGACGCUGAGUGCGCGAAAGCCAGGGGAGCAAACAGG
RNAcentral lists this ribosomal RNA (254 nucleotides) under uncultured bacterium. RNAcentral's name for it is "partial 16S ribosomal RNA". It matches the Rfam family "Bacterial small subunit ribosomal RNA", at positions 524 to 776 of the family's 1533-position model. The record is from RNAcentral.